RNAcentral lists this long non-coding RNA (850 nucleotides) under Heterocephalus glaber (naked mole-rat). Its description in RNAcentral is "lncRNA (ENSHGLG00100048407.1)". Lineage: Eukaryota; Metazoa; Chordata; Mammalia; Rodentia; Bathyergidae. The record is from RNAcentral.
GGAAAAUGUGUCUGGUUAUCAAGUUGACAAGACAUGGAUUCUGAUGGUUAAUUGAUUAAUUGUCAGGUUGAGUGAGAACACCCAGCUGAAUAGAGUCAGCAUGAUUCCAGGUGUGAAGGACCCUCUUUAAGGAGGAUUGUUGUUGAGCUGGUAUAAAAAGGACAAAGUGAGGGAAAGAUUUCAGCUGAUCUUCCUUGGCGGCUCCUUGCCUGAGUCCUGCAAGCUGUUGUAAGCACUGACUAAUAUAUUAUCUAAUGUUUUGCAAGAAUUCAGAAGAAACCUAGUGAGGUCUUCUGACUCAGGGUGUCCUACAAGACUGUCAUCAUGGUGUUUGUGAGUUUAUGGUCUCACCUGAAAGAUCUAGUGAGGGGGAAACCCUUUCAAGUGAUUGUUGGCAGAAUUCAGUUCUUCAUGUGCUUCCGGACCCAGAGGCUCACUUCCUUCUCAUGUAGGCUUAUCAACGGAGCAGUUCACAACAUGAUAUUUGCCUUCUAUCAGAAGCACAUGGGAAUGCAAAAGAGAAUAACACAAGGUGGCCAUAGCACUGAUACUUCGAAGUUGUCAAAGGUGCUGUAAGCCUGGAUCACUAAAUAGCCUUAUGAUACCUCCACUCCCUCCCCUUUAACCUCUAAGCUGAACUACCUUGAAGCUGAGCAAAAGCAAAGUUUUAAGAUGUUAAGCUCUAAUAGUUUUCUAUAUAUUUUGGUGUAUAUCUUGGAGUUUAUGCAUGUAUUUGGUAUACUUGUAUAUUUCCACAUCUUUACCUACCUUAAAUAAUACAACAUUAGUGUAUUCUAUACUAAUUAUGGACCAUCAAUGAUCACAAUUUCUUUCUUUCUUUCUUUCUUUC